RNAcentral lists this ribosomal RNA (497 nucleotides) under uncultured bacterium. RNAcentral describes it as "partial 16S ribosomal RNA". It matches the Rfam family "Bacterial small subunit ribosomal RNA", at positions 28 to 507 of the family's 1533-position model. The record is from RNAcentral.
GAUGAACGCUGGCGGCGUGCCUAAUACAUGCAAGUCGAGCGAACGGACGAGAAGCUUGCUUCUCUGAUGUUAGCGGCGGACGGGUGAGUAACACGUGGAUAACCUACCUAUAAGACUGGGAUAACUUCGGGAAACCGGAGCUAAUACCGGAUAAUAUUUUGAACUGCAUGGUUCAAAAGUGAAAGACGGUCUUGCUGUCACUUAUAGAUGGAUCCGCGCUGCAUUAGCUAGUUGGUAAGGUAACGGCUUACCAAGGCAACGAUGCAUAGCCGACCUGAGAGGGUGAUCGGCCACACUGGAACUGAGACACGGUCCAGACUCCUACGGGAGGCAGCAGUAGGGAAUCUUCCGCAAUGGGCGAAAGCCUGACGGAGCAACGCCGCGUGAGUGAUGAAGGUCUUCGGAUCGUAAAACUCUGUUAUUAGGGAAGAACAUAUGUGUAAGUAACUGUGCACAUCUUGACGGUACCUAAUCAGAAAGCCACGGCUAACUACGUG